Molecule: ribosomal RNA, 406 nt
Filed under: uncultured bacterium
Lineage: Bacteria
Description: partial 16S ribosomal RNA
Rfam family: Bacterial small subunit ribosomal RNA
Source: RNAcentral
AUUGAACGCUGGCGGCAGGCCUAACACAUGCAAGUCGAACGAGUGGCGGACGGGUGAGUAAUGUCUGGGAAACUGCCUGCUGGAGGGGGAUAACUACUGGAAACGGUAGCUAAUACCGCAUACCAUCAGAUGUGCCCAGAUGGAAUUAGCUAGUAGGUGGGGUAACGGCUCACAUGGGCGACGAUCCCUAGCUGGUCUGAGAGGAUGACCAGCCACACUGGAACUGAGACACGGUCCAGACUCCUACGGGAGGCAGCAGUGGGGAAUAUUGCACAAUGGGCGCAAGCCUGAUGCAGCCAUGCCGCGUGUGUGAAGAAGGCCUUCGGGUUGUAAAGUACUUUCAGCGGGGAGGCGUUACUCGCAGAAGAAGCACCGGCUAACUCCGUGCCAGCAGCCGCGGUAAUAC